Molecule: ribosomal RNA, 440 nt
Filed under: uncultured bacterium
Lineage: Bacteria
Description: partial 16S ribosomal RNA
Rfam family: Bacterial small subunit ribosomal RNA
Source: RNAcentral
CCUACGGGAGGCAGCAGUGGGGAAUAUUGCACAAUGGGGGAAACCCUGAUGCAGCGACGCCGCGUGAGUGAAGAAGUCCCUCCUUAUGUAAAGCUCUAUCAGCAGGGAAGAAAAGGACGGUACCUGAGCAAGACGCCCCGGCUCACUACGUGCCAGCAGCCGCGGUCAUACGUAGGGGGCAAGCGGUAUCCGGAUUUACGGGGGGUAAAGGGGGCGUAGACGGCAGUGCAAGUCUGGAGUGAAAGGCGGGGGGUCAACCCCCGGACUGCUCUGGAAACUGUACGGCUGGAGUGCAGGAGAGGUAAGUGGAAUUCCUGGUGUAGCGGUGAAAUGCGUAGAUAUUAGGAGGAACACCAGUUGCGAAGGCGGCUCUCUGGACUGUAACUGACACUGAGGCACGAAAGCGUGGGGAGCAAACAGGAUUAGAUACCCUUGUAGUC